AACGCACCUUGCGCUCCCUGGUAUUCCGGGGAGCACGCCUGUUCGAGUGUCGUGAAUACCCCUCAAGCUGGAUGCUUUAUUGUUAUCUUUGCUUGGAUUUGGACUUUGCUGCGCAUGCCUUUGGUGGUGGCGGCUGGUCUUAAAUGCAUUAGCUGAGCCAUGAUUGUAUUUUUGGUUCUACUCGGCGUGAUAAGUUCUGACCGUCGAGGACAUCUGCUUUGGGGCGGAUGGCCAAGAGUACCUUGGAUUGCUUCGAAUCUGUCCGUUGACAAUCUUUCAAUUUUGACCUCGAAUCAGGUGGGACUACCCGCUGAACUUAA
Molecule: ribosomal RNA, 320 nt
Filed under: uncultured Clavulina
Lineage: Eukaryota; Fungi; Basidiomycota; Agaricomycetes; Cantharellales; Hydnaceae
Description: eukaryotic LSU rRNA
Source: RNAcentral